GAUGAACGCUGGCGGCGUGCCUAAUACAUGCAAGUCGAGCGAACAGACGAGGAGCUUGCUCCUCUGACGUUAGCGGCGGACGGGUGAGUAACACGUGGAUAACCUACCUAUAAGACUGGGAUAACUUCGGGAAACCGGCGCUAAUACCGGAUAAUAUCUUGAACCGCAUGGUUCAAUAGUGAAAGACGGUUUUGAUGUCACUUAUCGAUGGAUCCGCGCUGCAUUAGCUAGUUGGUAAGGUAACGGCUUACCAAGGCAACGAUGCGUAGCCGACCUGCGAGGGUGAUCGGCCACACUGGAACUGAGACACGGUCCAGACUCCUGCGGGAGGCAGCAGUAGGGAAUCUUCCGCAAUGGGCGAAAGCCUGACGGAGCAACGCCGCGUGAGUGAUGAAGGUCUUCGGAUCGUAAAACUCUGUUAUUAGGGAAGAACAGAUGUGUAAGUAACUGUGGACGUCGUGACGGUACCUAAUCAGAAAGCCACGGCUAACUACGUG
This 497-nucleotide ribosomal RNA is filed under the name uncultured bacterium. RNAcentral describes it as "partial 16S ribosomal RNA". It matches the Rfam family "Bacterial small subunit ribosomal RNA", at positions 28 to 507 of the family's 1533-position model. The record is from RNAcentral.